GGGAAAGGAACAUGCCAUCUUCCACGGCCACCCUUCAACCUCACUGACUCCUUUGGGAGCACUGAAAAGGUUAUGAAGAACUGGUUGGACAGGUGGCUUGGACUGGCCAUCGUGGCCCACACCCACACAGGUGGUUUCUGCCAUGCUAAGGUGGAUAGUGCAUUUUCCCACCCACACACCUUUAAAAAGAACUUCAUCCUGUUUUGUGUCACUUGAUCCUUGAGACUCCGAGGUGCCAAGAGUAAUAUAAUUAACUGCAAGAUUGUGUGGAGGUGAUUCCUGGGGGAAUCACUGGCAUUGUGUCACAAUGAGACACAAACAAAAGUACGCUCUCUUCGCUUUCGCAAUCUUGGGAUUAGGUUUGUGUCACACUGCAUCUGCCCAGGAGUGCAGGAACAGUUCAAACCCAGAUCAACCCCAGAGAGAACCUGAGGAGGACAGGAAUGGUAAGAACAAUUUUGUGCAGACUACUAUUUUAGCUACUGUUUGUAUUGUACAAUUCUUAAUAUCAGAAUGACCUUACCACUG
Long non-coding RNA from Sardina pilchardus (European sardine), 528 nucleotides. RefSeq lists it as uncharacterized. NCBI's taxonomy places the organism in Eukaryota, Metazoa, Chordata, Actinopteri, Clupeiformes, Clupeidae. The record is from RefSeq and is a predicted model, not a curated record. The transcript is spliced from 6 exons.